CCUCAGUAGAUGCGUGGGCCCUGUGCGCAGUUCCGAACGCGUCGUUCACAUACAGAUCAGCCAAUGAGGCGAGCUUUUGGGCGAAUUCCGGAUCAUUCUUCUCCUCCUCUUUGUAGAACCUCACAUUCUCGAGCAAGAGAACACCACCUUCGGGGAGUGCAGCCACUAACGCUUCGACAUCUGGCCCAAUGCAGUCAUCGGCUUUCACAACCUGAAUCGGUGUUGGUGAAUGUAAGAGAAAUAAAUAGGUACUCGGUCCAAAUUAUAUGUUUCUUAUAUACUUUUUUCACCAUUAACGCAAACAUGUUUAUUUUAUUUUUUUUUAUUCUUAUUUUUACCUGGAUUCCGAGCAGUUCAGAUAGCCUCGGUACGAGAGGUGCGAGGCUGUAUUUUGGAGUCACACCUUUUGGACGACCCUGAAAAACGAAAACCGAAGAAAAAAUUAAUUCAGAAAUCAGACAAAAAUUUAAAAUGAAAAAGCCUAUAGCCAACACACUUCAACAAACUGGAAAGUCGGAAGAAAAGAAUAACGAAAAAUGGUAUGAUCAAAUCAGAUUCAAACACGAAAUGAAAAGAUAAACACCAACAAAGGACGAAUGCAUCAAGGUUAAUUCGAACGCAUCCAAAUUUCAUAAUUGCUCAUAGAACAACGAAUUACAAAGAUUAACCGAAUCCCAGUUAUCGCAUUCUUCAUAAAUUAAACAUACUUCAACAAAUUAGAAACUUCGAAGAACAGAAAAGUUAUACUCGAAAAAAAAAAAAAAAACGGAACUGAAAAUCAAACAAUCACAAGCUGCAAAUACUAAAUCCACAACAAAUGGUAUGAGCAAAUCCACAAAAGAAGAAUGCAAUAAGAUUGAAUCAAAUGCCGGAAUAAAUAAAUUUAGUAGAAAUUGUUCAAAGAUUUAAAAAGAAAUUAAACACUAACCAAGUGACUGGAGAGAAGGACUUUAGCACCAUUGCUUAUCAAGUGUUUGAUGGUUGGAAUGGCGGCUCUGAUCCUGGUGUCAUCGGUGAUAUUCUGGCUGUCAUCGAGGGGUACAUUCAGAUCAGCCCUAACAAAGACCCUUUUGCCCUUGAGCUCGGCGGCGGUGAGGUCACCCACGCUCUUCUUCACCAUCGACGCCACUCCUCUGACGGCGGCGGACGAUCCCCUCUUGAGCGACGCCAUCUUGACUGCCACGUGGCGGGAGAGGAGCGGGUCGGCGGCGGCGGCGGCGAAACCCAGGCCGCGGGUUGGGGUUUUCGAUAGGAAUCGAGUGGUGGGGGUUUUCAGGGAGGCUCUGGCGGCGGUGGCGGUUGAGGCCUUGGGGAUGCCACAGAAGGCCGGCGACGAUGCAGCUGCUGUGGACGCCAUUGCUGAAAUCACUCACUCACUGAAUGUGUGUUUUCUGUGUGUGUGGGAAUGGUGGGGCAAACAACUGUGAGUGAGGGUUUGAAAAAAAAUAGGGAAAUAUGAAUAUAUAAUUUGUGGUGGUGGUGGAGAAUGAGAUAUGAGAGGAUUGCUCUUAUCGUUGAGCUGAGGUUGAAGAUGAUCCAUCAUUUGUCUUUUUUCCCCUUUUUUUUCAUGUUCACUGUGUUUUUAAAUUAGUUUAUUGCAUUUAAGUCCCUCGUGUUAUACCAAAUAGCUAAAAUACCCCUCGUAUUAUAAAUAUUAGCAACACAAACCCCUGCUAAUUCAAGUUUAUUACUAAAUUACCCCUUGAAUGAACUAUUAAAGAGGUUGUUUUAAUGUUUUUCAUACUUGUCUCGUGGUUACAUUUCCCCUUUUUGCCUUUGUAUUUAACAAAGGAGUUUUUUUUUUCUAUUUGUUGAUCUCCUCUUUUCAAUUCCAUAUACGUAACGAAUGAAAUCGAGCCGAACUUAUGAUUGUUCAAACUUGUUUGAACCUUUAUCGAAGUUUUUGAAGUUGUUUAUGAGCUUGAUUUGUUAAAAGAUUGAGUCUAAUUCGAUGGGGCUUUAAUGUAACUGAACACAAAUCGAGCUCGAGUACCUUGAUUUGCACAUAUUUUUCAUUCGAGCUCGAGGCUGAGUUUCAUAACUUAUGGAAUGAAAAUAUGUGUUCAAAUUUGAUUCAUUAUGUUAAUGAACAAAGCUGAAACGACCUUUUAACAAUCAAUCUCGAAUCAAAUUUCAAAGUAUUAAUAAGUUCAUAAAUUAAAUCUGAAUUUCAUGAAUUUCCAACUUAAAAUAUUACAAAUUUGACUGAAUAUAUGAACAUUUAGUUUAUUUUGUUUUAAAAAAUCUAAAUUUAUUUUCUGAGAUUUAUUUCUCAGCUGCAUCACAUUAAUACUACCAUACAAUCACAUUAGGCUGCUACUAGAGCUUGCUGGUAGGAACUCCGUCUGGUUUUGCCCUCGAUCUAUUCUCUACAGAUCGAGAGAAUCUUUUAACGGCAUCUUUUGGCAGAUGACGAGGUUUGCUCAGCCAAAGUCCCCCAUCCACAGGCAGAAUACUCCCGUUUACGUAUUUACCUUUACAUAUAUAAAUAUAUAUAUAAAAAAAUGAUCAAGAAAAGAGAAUAUAAGAAUCAUAAUAGAACUAAAACUAACAUAUAUGAUAUAUAUACAUUGGAACAACAGGAAUUAACCUUUGAAUAAAACUUGUUGAAAGGCAAUUCUAGAAUUUCGACGACAAAAAUAAUAAGCUAGAACCAUUUAUUUCAAAGAAAAAAAACUGUAAUUCCCCUGUUUUACCUCCAAGAAAGCCUAAAGAAAGUUAAUACAAAUUAGAAAAAUACGGGCAAUUUCAAAAUCAGCAAUUGUAUACAUUGGAACUGCAGGGAUUAACCUUUCGAUAAACUUGUAAGGCAAUUCUAGAAUUUUUUGACGACAAAAAUAUUAAGCUAGAACCAUUUAUUUCAAAGGAAAAAAAAAUUGAAAUUUCCCUGUUUUACCUCCAAGAAAGCCUAAAAAAAAGAUUAUUAUAGAUUAGAACGAAAAAAAAAAUAUGAGCAAUUUCAAGAAAACGAACCAGCAUCCGAGGCAAGGUAGACAGCAGCCAUUGCAAUAUCCCACCUAGUUCCCAGUUUAUAGAGAGGCAUAUCUUCUCUCACAUUGUUAUUUAUUUCUUCGGGCACAAGUUUACUCAUGCCAGGUGUGUCUCCAAUGGGACCCGGUGCAAUCCCGUUUACCCUAAUAUCGUAAUCCGUACCCCAUUCCAGUGCUAAAUUUCUUGUCGUAGCAUCAACAGCUGCCUGAAGGGAAAGCGGUAAUAUUGGCCACAAAUAUUUUCUAUAUUUUCAAGAAAAUUUCGAAGUAUUUUUUUUUUUAUGACAAGCGUCAACAUUUUUUACAAACCUUGGCUGCAGAUACAUGGAUUUGGUACCAUGAUGCUGUGUAAUGCAGAGUUGCACUUAUAUUUAGUAUAAACCCCCCACUAGACGAGGUUCUGCCGGGCCCACCUUUUUUAAGGUACGGAAGAGCUUCGUGACACAUAGUGAAUGUGCCAACCGAAUCAAUAUCCAUCACUGCAGAAAGUAAAUAACAAUUAACAAUGUUGUACAUUUAAAUGAGUGAUUCUUGGGCAAAAUAGUAUUGAAGAUGCAAAAAUCAACUAUCCACAAGUCUCGUGUUUUUUCGUGUUCGAGAUAACCAUACUAGAAACCAUAAAAUCGUAAAAAAAACAUUGGAGAAAGAUGCUGACAGCAGAUUUCUUUUAUCAGUAUAUAUAAUUAGAGGUGCUAAAUAUCAUUUCAAUUUUAUUGGUACCGAUCUGACUUCAAAUGUGAUUUUGACCCUUUUCACUUCGAAUUUGGCAAAAACUCAAAGCACCAACUUUGUAGUACUUAAGGUUGGCUUUGUAAUCCAACUUGAAUCAACUAAUUUGGUGUUUCGACAAAAAAGUUAUGCAUAAUCUUUAAAUUACGGUUCCAGUAAAAUUAAAACGACAUUUACAAUUUCAAAUAACAAAUUUCAACAAAAAAAAAAAAAAAUUGUAGCUACACCACAUAUUCACAGACCAAGAAUAAGCCAAUUCUCGACAAAUUCUAAUCAAACAAAUUCGGCAGAAGCUAUAGACAAACCUGUCUUAAAACCAUUAGGAGAAAGAUCCUCAGCCGAAACAAGAAAAUUGCCAGCAGCACCGUUGACAAGAAUGUCGAGCUUUCCGAAAUGCUUCACUGUUGCUUCGACAACUCUCUGUGCAUCUUCUUUUUUACGAACAUCCCCUUCAAAACCGACAGCCUGAGAAAAAAAACCAAAAAAUUGCAGAGAAGAAGAAUAAAAACUACUAAAAUAUUCUAUAAUUCCAGUACAUAAUUAAUUGCAAUUAGAGCUGAAAAAUGAAAUCAAACUACUCAGACACUCAGAAUCAAUUGCAAGCCUUUUAUGUAGUAUACUAGGGUUCCAAAAAUCAGGGAUUAGGGUUUCAAUUUGCAUACAAGUAACAAAAAAAAAUCAAAUCGGUUCGCUGAUUCAUAAUUCAUAGACAGUUAUAAAUUUACAAUCUAAUUAAUUUUUCGAAGAUUGGGGAGA
This 4475-nucleotide long non-coding RNA is filed under the name Erythranthe guttata (spotted monkey flower). RNAcentral describes it as "long non-coding RNA (EGUT_LNC001606)". The record is from RNAcentral. Lineage: Eukaryota; Viridiplantae; Streptophyta; Magnoliopsida; Lamiales; Phrymaceae.